UGGGGAAUUUUGCGCAAUGGGCGAAAGCCUGACGCAGCAACGCCGCGUGGGUGAUGAAGGUCUUCGGAUCGUAAAACCCUGUCGUCGGGGACGAAGGUAAUUCGGUUAACAACUGAGUUGCUUGACGGUACCCGGAGAGGAAGCCCCGGCUAACUCUGUGCCAGCAGCCGCGGUAAUACAGAGGGGGCAAGCGUUAUUCGGAAUUAUUGGGCGUAAAGGGCGCGUAGGCGGUUUUUUAAGUCAGAUGUGUAAUCCCCGAGCUCAACUUGGGAACUGCAUCUGAGACUGGAAGGCUAGAGUACUGGAGAGGGUGGUAGAAUUCCACGUGUAGCGGUGAAAUGCGUAGAGAUGUGGAGGAAUACCAGUGGCGAAGGCGGCCACCUGGACAGUAACUGACGCUGAGGCGCGAAAGUGUGGGUAGCAAACA
RNAcentral lists this ribosomal RNA (427 nucleotides) under uncultured prokaryote. Its description in RNAcentral is "bacterial SSU rRNA". It matches the Rfam family "Bacterial small subunit ribosomal RNA", at positions 355 to 774 of the family's 1533-position model. The record is from RNAcentral.